AGGACUUCCUGCUCCUUGUUCUUGGGCCUUCAGGUUUGAACUGGACUUAUACCACUGACUCCCUGCUUAGACUAGAACUAUAUCACCAUCUUUCCUGAGCCCCCAGCUUUCAGACAGCAGAUCAUUGGCCUUCCUAGCUUCCACGAUCAAAUUGGAAAAGCAUUGGAAAAUUUGUCCAAAGUCACUCAACAGAUUCAUGAUGGAUCCUGGAUUCACAGCCAGCUUUACUUGGCAAUAAAAUUCAAGUCCUGUUCACAUCACAACACAUUUUUACCGAAAGAAAAAUAUGAUGUGUAGAUGUUUGGAGGCAUCCUAUCUUAAUGAGGCUUUUGUUAGAAAGAGUUUUCUUAAAAUUACAGGGUUGGGGAAAUAAAAAAUGUUUGUUGCUCAGAUUAACAAAAAAAUGGUAUAUAGAAAAUAAAGCUAAGAAAGGAAAGUGCAGACAACCAAGAGACUAGAAUUUUCAAUAAAUGGCAAAAUUGUGGUGUUCUGUGGUUACCUCUUGAAGAUUUGGCCUGAAUCAUGCAACAAUUGCCCCUUACCCUCAGUCCUCAAAUUACAAUAGUGAAAGAGGUUUCUAUAGGUAUUAUAUUUGAAUCUGCUAUAUUUUGUUUAUUACUUGCAAGGACAUAUAGGAGAGCAAAAGUUUUCCCUCUAAUUUCUUAGGUUUAGUAACUGGAACUUGUGAAUUAAACUGGCAAAAUACAGAUUAACAGGAGAAGAGUCAUAGACAUUUUAUUUUAAAUUUCAUAUGCAAUGUAGUUCCAGAGAAAAGAAGUGAAAGCCUGAAGAAGCAAUUAGACUUGAGGAGUUAUAUCUUUAACAAAGGGUGGUGAGUGUAGAGAAGUGACUAGAUUUUUUUUAAGAUGGUUUUAGGCUUCCAAGGGUGAUAAACCAUGGGAAGGAAAAUACAUGAGGGAAACUAAUGGUAUAUAGGAGUUAUUUAGUAAGGUUUGUUUACACAGACUAAUCUCAGUGGUAAGAACGGUUUUUCUCCUUUUUCUGGUCAGGGGAAGGAGAAGGGACACCAUCACAAUGGGAAUUUGUGCUUUGCUGGUAGACAAAUAGGAGCAGAGCAGAGAACUUCUUUCUCUCAAUUGUCUUCAGCUCAGAAUAAUCCUUAUGCCAAACAGGCAUAAUUUGGAAUUACAUAUUUUCAUCCUCUCCACACACAAGCUUCCGUAUAAAGUUCAAAGACAGUAGUAUUUUCUUAUAAUUCACUCUGCCCCAAAUAUUAACUAAGAUGACAUUCUUUUUCCAGCUUGAUUCUGCAACAUUCACUUCCAGAAACUUUAUCACUCUUAAUCCUGGAUUGAAGGAAAAUAUUUGAAUGUGAUAAAGGAUAUAUAUUUUAAAAAGAAAGGAACUAUAAUAAAAGGCAAGAUUCAGAAAUUAUGUUGUAAUCUGUGACUUAGUGCAAUUUAGUCCUUGAAUUUCUUGUGUGCAAUUUAUUGAAGCUAUCUUAUUAUAUGUUAAUUCUGUGUCUUCUUUGCCCUCUCUUUUUGUAAAAAUUUUCUUUUUCUGAAUUUUUUUCCAGAGUCAAUCAUUGAUCUUCUUGAUAACAUUCAUUUCCCUUGGUGAACUAACUUUGGUUCAUCGCUUUAUCAUUCUUCUCCAGGCUGUUUUUGAAGGGUCUGUGAGCUGAGAAUGGUUUUUAAUAGAUAAAUGCUCACAAUCAAUUUGGGGAUAAGAAAUAUUAUUUUGAAUCUCAGUUACAAAAAAUGUUAUCCUUCAUAAAAUAAUUCAUUUUUUUCUCAGUAAUAAAAAUGUAUUUCAAAAAUAU
RNAcentral lists this long non-coding RNA (1783 nucleotides) under Homo sapiens (human). RNAcentral's name for it is "HSALNT0313324". Lineage: Eukaryota; Metazoa; Chordata; Mammalia; Primates; Hominidae. The record is from RNAcentral.